GUCCACGCCGUAAACGAUGCAUGCUAGGAAUUCGGAGAAUCGACCCUCUGAGUUUCGAAGCUAACGCGUUAAGCAUGCCGCCUGGGUAGUACGGCCGCAAGGCUAAAACUCAAAGGAAUUGACGGGGACCCGCACAAGCGGUGGAACAUGUGGUUUAAUUCGUCAACAAGCGAAGAACCUUACCAGGGUUUGACAUCUAGGGAAUCCGCUAGAAACAGUGGAGUGCCGCAAGGAGCCCUAAGACAGGUGUUGCACGGUCGUCGU
This 264-nucleotide ribosomal RNA is filed under the name uncultured bacterium. RNAcentral's name for it is "partial 16S ribosomal RNA". It matches the Rfam family "Bacterial small subunit ribosomal RNA", at positions 793 to 1055 of the family's 1533-position model. The record is from RNAcentral.